GUGUGUGUCAGUCAGUGUAUGUCUGUAAGUGAGUGUGUUUGUGUGUCUGUCAAGGAGUGUCUGUCAGUGAAUGUCUGUGUGUGUCUGUCAGUGAGUUUAUGUAUGUCAGUGAGUAAGUGUAUAUCUGUAAGUGAGUGUGUGUUUGUGUGUCUGUCAGUGAGUGAGUAUAUGUCUAUCAGAAAGUGUCUGUCUGUGUGUGUGU
Pelobates cultripes (western spadefoot toad) is the source of this 202-nucleotide non-coding RNA. The record is from the annotation of a GenBank genome assembly. NCBI's taxonomy places the organism in Eukaryota, Metazoa, Chordata, Amphibia, Anura, Pelobatidae.